This 240-nucleotide unclassified non-coding RNA is filed under the name soil metagenome. RNAcentral describes it as "partial contains 5.8S ribosomal RNA, internal transcribed spacer 2, and large subunit ribosomal RNA". The record is from RNAcentral.
AACCAUAGAAACCUGCGGAGUACCUGCGGAGGGAUCAUUAUAGUAUAUGGAAUCUCCAUUCUAUAAACCCACUCUGUGUAUCUUGUAACUGUUGCUUCCAUGGGACUUGGUUCCGCCACACCGGCUUCACGGCUGGUGAGCGCCCAUGGAAGGAGAAACAAAACUCUUCUUUGAAAUGUAGUCAGUCUGAACAAGUUUUUAUAAACGUUAAAACUUUUAACAAUGGAUCUCAGAUCGGAA